GCGUGCCUAAUACAUGCAAGUCGAACGCACUCUCUUUUAGAUUGAAGGAGCUUGCUCCUGAUUGUUAAACAUUUGAGUGAGUGGGGGACGGGUGAGUAACACCUGGGUAACCUGCCCUAAAGUGGGGGAUAACAUUUGGAAACAGAUGCUAUAUACCGCAUAAAACCUAACACCGCAUGGUGUAGGGUCUGAAAGAUGGUUUCGGCUAUCACUUUAGGAUGGACCCGCGGUGCAUUAGUUAGUUGGUGAGGUAAAGGCUCACCAAGACCGUGAUGCAUAGCCGACCUGAGAGGGUAAUCGUCCACACUGGGACUGAGACACGGCCCAGACUCAUACGGGAGGCAGCAGUAGGGAAUCUUCCACAAUGGACGAAAGUAUGAUGGAGCAACCCCGCGUGAGUGACGAAGGUUUUCGGAUCGUAAAAAUCUGUUGUUGGAGAAGAAUGUAUAUGAUAGUUACUGAUCAGGUAGUGACGGUAUCCAACCAGAAAGCCACGGCUAACUACGUGCCAGCAGCCGCGGUAAUAUGUAGGUGGCAAGCGUUGUCUGGAUUUAUUGGGGGUAAAGCGAGCGCAGGCGGUUUCUUAAGUGUGAUGUGAAAGCUUUCGGCUCUACCGAAGAAGUGCAUCGGAAACUGGGAAACUUGAGUGCAGAAGAGGACAGUGGAACUCCAUGUGUAGCGGUGAAAUGCGUAGAUAUAUGGAAGAACACCAGUGGCGAAGGCGGCUGUCUGGUCUGUAACUGACGCUGAGGCUCGAAAGCAUGGGUAGCAAACACGAUUAGAUACCCUGGUAGUCCACGCCGUAAACGAUGAGUGGUAGGUGUUGGAGGGUUUCCGCCCCUCAUCGCCGCAGCUAACGCAUCAAGCACUCCUCCUGGGGAGGACGUUCGCAAGAAUGAAACUCACUAGGAAUAGACGGGGACCCGCACCACCGGUGGAGCAGCUGGUUUAAUUAGAAGCAACGCGAAGAACCUUCCUUCGUCUCGACAUCCCUCCGACCCGUCCUCUAAUCGGGGCUUUCCUUCGGUGACAGAGGAGACAGGCUGGUGCAUGGUUGUCGUCAGUCUCGUGUCGUGAGAUGUUGGGUUAAGUCCCGCAACGAGCGCAACCCCCAUCUUUAGUAGCCAGCAUCUGAGGUGGGCACUCUAGAGAGACUGCCGAGGGAUAGCCUCGAGGAAGGUGGGGAUGACGUCAAAUCAUCAUGCCCCUUAUGACCAGGGCUACCCCCGUGCUACAAUGGCGUAAACAAAGGGAAGCGAGCCCGCGAGGGGGAGCAAAUCCCAAAAAUCCCGUCUCAGUUCGGAUUGUAGUCUGCAACUCGCCUACAUGAAGCUGGAAUCGCUAGUAAUCGCGAAUCAGAAUGUCGCGGUGAAUACGUUCCCGGGUCUUGCACACACCGCCCGUCA
RNAcentral lists this ribosomal RNA (1406 nucleotides) under uncultured bacterium. Its description in RNAcentral is "partial 16S ribosomal RNA". It matches the Rfam family "Bacterial small subunit ribosomal RNA", at positions 42 to 1399 of the family's 1533-position model. The record is from RNAcentral.